ACGGGAGGCAGCAGUGGGGAAUAUUGGGCAAUGGGCGAAAGCCUGACCCAGCAACGCCGCGUGAAGGAAGAAGGCCUUCGGGUUGUAAACUUCUUUUGUCAGGGACGAAGGACGUGACGGUACCUGACGAAUAAGCAACGGCUAACUACGUGCCAGCAGCCGCGGUAAUACGUAGGUUGCAAGCGUUGUCCGGAUUUGCUGGGUGUAAAGGGCGUGUAGGCGGAACUGCAAGUCAGAUGUGAAAUCCCGGGGCUCAACCCCGGAACUGCAUUUGAAACUGUAGUCCUUGAGUAUCGGAGAGGCAAGCGGAAUUCCUAGUGUAGCGGUGAAAUGCGUGGAUAUUAGGAGGAACACCAGUGGCGAAGGCGGCUUGCUGGACGACAACUGACGCUGAGGCGCGAAAGCGUGGGGAGCAAACAGGAUUAGAUACC
RNAcentral lists this ribosomal RNA (431 nucleotides) under uncultured Pseudoflavonifractor sp. RNAcentral describes it as "partial 16S ribosomal RNA". It matches the Rfam family "Bacterial small subunit ribosomal RNA", at positions 341 to 786 of the family's 1533-position model. The record is from RNAcentral. Lineage: Bacteria; Bacillati; Bacillota; Clostridia; Eubacteriales; Oscillospiraceae.